AGUGAACGCUGGCGGUAGGCCUAACACAUGCAAGUCGAACGGCAGCACAGUAAGAGCUUGCUCUUACGGGUGGCGAGUGGCGGACGGGUGAGGAAUACAUCGGAAUCUACUUUUUCGUGGGGGAUAACGUAGGGAAACUUACGCUAAUACCGCAUACGACCUACGGGUGAAAGCAGGGGAUCUUCGGACCUUGCGCGAUUGAAUGAGCCGAUGUCGGAUUAGCUAGUUGGCGGGGUAAAGGCCCACCAAGGCGACGAUCCGUAGCUGGUCUGAGAGGAUGAUCAGCCACACUGGAACUGAGACACGGUCCAGACCCCUACGGGAGGCAGCAGUGGGGAAUAUUGGACAAUGGGCGCAAGCCUGAUCCAGCCAUACCGCGUGGGUGAAGAAGGCCUUCGGGUUGUAAAGCCCUUUUGUUGGGAAAGAAAAGCAGCAGGUUAAUACCCCGCCGUUCUGACGGUACCCAAAGAAUAAGCACCGGCUAACUUCGUG
This 492-nucleotide ribosomal RNA is filed under the name uncultured bacterium. RNAcentral describes it as "partial 16S ribosomal RNA". It matches the Rfam family "Bacterial small subunit ribosomal RNA", at positions 29 to 507 of the family's 1533-position model. The record is from RNAcentral.